Non-coding RNA from Vicia faba (fava bean), 282 nucleotides. NCBI's taxonomy places the organism in Eukaryota, Viridiplantae, Streptophyta, Magnoliopsida, Fabales, Fabaceae. The record is from the annotation of a GenBank genome assembly.
AUGGCCCGGACCUUCAAGAUGAUCAAGGACAUCAAUGACCGUAAAGAACUAUGGAAAAUCAUUGUCAAAGUUCACCACAAAUGGAAGGUUUCGUCCACUGCAAAUGAGAAUUUUGAACUUAUAGUUAUAGACAAAGAAGUGAGUUUUAAUUGUCGAUGUUUGUUUCGUGUUCAUGUCUUAGGUUUCUUUCAUGUUUUUUUCAAUUUUUGUUGUUUGUUUAUCAGUUACUUCCAUGACAAAGAUUUUAUAUGUACUGGUUUUUUGAGUUAUGGUGUUUAUUGA